Molecule: ribosomal RNA, 327 nt
Filed under: uncultured eukaryote
Lineage: Eukaryota
Description: partial 18S ribosomal RNA
Rfam family: Eukaryotic small subunit ribosomal RNA
Source: RNAcentral
CCCUUAGAUGUUCUGGGCCGCACACGCGCUACACUGAAGGAGGCAGCGUGUACUCCUGGAUCGAAUGAUUUGGGUAACCCGCGAAUCUCCUUCGUGCUAGGGAUUGAGGUUUGCAAUUAUCCUUCAUGAACGAGGAAUUCCCAGUAAGUGCAAGUCAUAAGCUUGCGCUGACUACGUCCCUGCCCUUUGUACACACCGCCCGUCGCUACUACCGAUUGAAUGAUUUAGUGAGGACUUCGGACUGGGACCGAUGCGGCUUUCGGGCUGCGUCGGUAUUCUGGAAAGAUGUCCAAACUGUAUCAUUUAGAGGAAGUAAAAGUCGUAACA